UGGGGAAUCUUGCACAAUGGAGGAAACUCUGAUGCAGCGACGCCGCGUGAGCGAAGAAGCCUUUCGGGGUGUAAAGCUCUUACGCCAGGGACGAUAAUGACGGUACCUGGAGAAGCAGCUGCGGCUAACUACGUGCCAGCAGCCGCGGUAAUACGUAGGCAGCAAGCGUUGUUCGGAAUUACUGGGCGUAAAGGGUGCGUAGGCGGCGCUCUAAGUUUGGUGUGAAAUCUCCCGGCUUAACUGGGAGGGUGCACUGAAAACUGGGGCGCUCGAGUAUGGGAGAGGAAAGCGGAAUUCCUGGUGUAGCGGUGAAAUGCGUAGAGAUCAGGAGGAACACCUGCGGUGCAGACGGCUUUCUGGACCAUCACUGACGCUGAGGCGCGAAAGCGUGGGUAGCAAACA
RNAcentral lists this ribosomal RNA (402 nucleotides) under uncultured bacterium. RNAcentral's name for it is "bacterial SSU rRNA". It matches the Rfam family "Bacterial small subunit ribosomal RNA", at positions 355 to 774 of the family's 1533-position model. The record is from RNAcentral.